Molecule: ribosomal RNA, 253 nt
Filed under: uncultured bacterium
Lineage: Bacteria
Description: partial 16S ribosomal RNA
Rfam family: Bacterial small subunit ribosomal RNA
Source: RNAcentral
UACGGAGGGGACUAGCGUUGUUCGGAAUUACUGGGCGUAAAGCGCACGUAGGCGGCUUUGUAAGUUAGAGGUGAAAGCCCGGAGCUCAACUCCGGAAUUGCCUUUAAGACUGCAUCGCUCGAAUCAUGGAGAGGUGAGUGGAAUUCCGAGUGUAGAGGUGAAAUUCGUAGAUAUUCGGAAGAACACCAGUGGCGAAGGCGACUCACUGGACAUGUAUUGACGCUGAGGUGCGAAAGCGUGGGGAGCAAACAGG